GCGUUGGUGGUUCAGUGGUGGAAUCCUCGCCUUCCGUGUGAGAGACCCGGGUUCGAUUCCCAGCCAGUGCA
This is a non-coding RNA of Orycteropus afer afer, 71 nucleotides long. Lineage: Eukaryota; Metazoa; Chordata; Mammalia; Tubulidentata; Orycteropodidae. The record is from the annotation of a RefSeq genome assembly.